This is a long non-coding RNA of Gallus gallus (chicken), 1257 nucleotides long. RefSeq lists it as uncharacterized. NCBI's taxonomy places the organism in Eukaryota, Metazoa, Chordata, Aves, Galliformes, Phasianidae. The record is from RefSeq and is marked validated. The transcript is spliced from 8 exons.
AGUACGCGCAGCGCCGGUCACGUGUCCCUUGUUUACCUUCGGUGUGCAGACCGCGCAUCUCAGCCCUUUCCUGUUCUGAGGGAGUAGCGCUGCUGCCGCGGGCUGUGAGCGGGCGGGCAGCUUCCCUGGGAGGAGGGGAAGCACUCAGCAGUGAGGGAAGGCUUACAAUGUCACUGCCAACAAAGAGGUGCGGAAGACCCCCAGUGUUGUCUUUCUUGGAAAAGAAAAAGAGAAAACAAAGUCUUGAUAGGAGGAGAGGAAAAACCAGGAUUUAUGUGGGAAAUCAUAUUGACCGAUGGCUGACACUGAAGGAAAAACUGGAUUUCAGGAACGAUGCAGAAGUUGCUGGAUUUUUAUUGGACUUGUAUGACAGCUAUGACCCGCUGACAAAAGCUCCCAUCUGUUCCCUCCCUGGGGGUGUGAGAAGAAUUUCUGUGAAAGAAGAAAGAGCACUUUCAGGCAGCGCUUGCUUAAUAGCAGCUGAUGGAACGUAUGAUGAUGGUGACCGGCUGUCUGAAGAGGCUGCCUGCUCUGAAUAUGGAGACUACAGAAUUGUCACUGUGAAGGAAGAGCGAGAGACUCCACCUCAUUGCUCAUCAGUGAAGACAGAUAACACUGAUAACGCAUACGAAGUGAUGCAUAAACCUACUUAGAAGUAGUGCCGUGCUCAAGGAGGCAACCACGCCAUCAGUCGACUGCUGAUGUCUUUUACUGCAGUGUCAUCAGUAACUGAGGCAUUCACAGUUGAGAGAUCAGAGGAGCCUCGAAUAGGGGGACACUGAGAACCUAGGACAGUGCAUUGGCAUUGCAUGGUGUGUCCAAACCCUUCGCUAACAUAAAUAGGUGAAUGUGUUGGGCUUCUGGAAGUAAUGCCCUGGCUCAGAAGAAUGACUGGAAGCUGAAUCAGGAGAAAACAAAUACCAGUGCUGGAGAAGCUGAAAAUUUCAAGUGCAUUCUUCAAAACAGCACUUUUCAAGGAUAAUAUUGUUUUAGGUUGGAGUGCUACAAUACUUUAAUUCCUGGGACUGACUUUCUACAGGGUAACCAGCAAGAAGAAAAUCAAGCACUUGAAUAAUGACCUUGGGGCAGUUCUUGGUCCUUUUUGGUUUUGCUGUGAGGGUUUUGUGAGUUAUAAAGAAUGACUGUAAGUUCUAGUAUGAAAUCCCAUGUAUAUUGUUGAACAACUAAUUAAACUUCAAUUACCUAAAGUUCUGUUGUGUUACCUUGAUAUUAAUAAAGCGUGUGGAGUGGAUUUAC